Molecule: long non-coding RNA, 806 nt
Filed under: Musa acuminata (dwarf banana)
Lineage: Eukaryota; Viridiplantae; Streptophyta; Magnoliopsida; Zingiberales; Musaceae
Description: long non-coding RNA (MACU_LNC007609)
Source: RNAcentral
UCAAGUUUUGCUAGAUGUGCAAGUUAGCAUUUUUGCCUCUUAAGAUAGGCAAGAUAGCACAUUUGCUUCUUUUGAGAUAGCAACUUUUCGCUUCUCUUUAGACUACAAGCUAGCAAUUUUUUACGAUAUACAAGUUAGCAAAAACUUCGAAAGCAAAUGCAAGAUAACUUUCUUGUGUAGGCUCAUGAUUAUUGCUUCCUAUUGUAAUGUGCAGGUUGCAAGUCUUGCUUCUUGAGAUAUUCAAGAUGGUGAUGUUCAAGAAGACAACUUUUGCUUCUUGAAAUAAGCAAGUUAGCAAUCUUUGCUACUUAAGAUAGGCAAGCUAGCAAUCAAGUUUUUGCAUCUUGAGAUAGGCAAGAUAGCACUUUUGUAAUUUUUUUUUGUUUGGCAAGCUUGUGAUGUUCAAGAUAACAAGCUCUUUCUUCUCUUUUGAGAAGUGUCAUUUUUGCUUUCUUUGCAAAGUGCAAGCUAGCAAAAUGCCAAACUAGCAAGAGAUGAUGUUUUACAUGAGGCAAGCAAACAAUUUGGCAAGUGUUACAUUUGCAUCUUCUCUUUAGAUGUGCAAGAAAAUAAACAAGUUUUUGCAUUUUCUUGACAUUUCAAGCUAGCAAUUAUCGGUGAUGUUCAAGAUAGCAAUUUCUUCUCCUUUAUAAUUUUUGCCUUUUUCUUGAAUUGUGCUAGCAAUCUAUCUCCCCCUUUGUCAUUGUCAAAAAGAAGGGAAAAACCCUUUACAUCAAUUUCUAAAUCAUGACAAAGGUAAGUAAUCAUUCUUAUUUGUGCAUCAUUAUAGUUUCAAUGCACAAAUU